RNAcentral lists this ribosomal RNA (467 nucleotides) under uncultured bacterium. RNAcentral's name for it is "bacterial SSU rRNA". It matches the Rfam family "Bacterial small subunit ribosomal RNA", at positions 335 to 803 of the family's 1533-position model. The record is from RNAcentral.
ACUCCUACGGGAGGCAGCAGUGAGGAAUAUUGGUCAAUGGGCGCAAGCCUGAACCAGCCAUGCCGCGUGCAGGAAGACUGCCCUAUGGGUUGUAAACUGCUUUUAUACAGGAAGAAACACUCGGACGUGUCCGAGCUUGACGGUACUGUAAGAAUAAGGAUCGGCUAACUCCGUGCCAGCAGCCGCGGUAAUACGGAGGAUCCAAGCGUUAUCCGGAAUCAUUGGGUUUAAAGGGUCCGUAGGUGGAUUAGUAAGUCAGAGGUGAAAGCCUGCAGCUCAACUGUAGAACUGCCUUUGAUACUGCUAGUCUUGAGUCAUUAUGAAGUGGUUAGAAUGUGUAGUGUAGCGGUGAAAUGCAUAGAUAUUACACAGAAUACCGAUUGCGAAGGCAGAUCACUAAUAAUGUACUGACACUGAUGGACGAAAGCGUGGGAGCGAACAGGAUUAGAUACCCUGGUAGCGACUGA